RNAcentral lists this ribosomal RNA (460 nucleotides) under uncultured bacterium. RNAcentral describes it as "partial 16S ribosomal RNA". It matches the Rfam family "Bacterial small subunit ribosomal RNA", at positions 338 to 795 of the family's 1533-position model. The record is from RNAcentral.
CCUACGGGAGGCAGCAGUGAGGAAUAUUGGUCAAUGGACGAGAGUCUGAACCAGCCAAGUCGCGUGAAGGAUGACUGUCCUAUGGUUUGUAACCUUCUUUUAUAUGGGAAUAAAACGUUCCACGUGUGGGAUUUUGUAUGUCCCAUAUGAAUAAGGAUCGGCUAACUCCGUGCCAGCAGCCGCGGUAAUACGGAGGCUCCGAGCGUUAUCCGGAUUUCUUGGGUUUAAAGGGUGCGUAGGUGGAUGGUUAAGUCAGUUGUGAAAGUGUGCGGCUCAACCGUAAAAGUGCAGUUGAAACUGGCAGUCUGGAGUACAGGAGAGGUAGGCGGAAUUCGUGGUGUAGCGGUGAAAUGCUUAGAUAUCACGAAGAACUCCGAUUGCGAAGGCAGUUCACUGGACUGCAACUGACGCUGAGGCUCGAAAGUGUGGGUAUCAAACAGGAUUAGAUACCCGUGUAGUC